GACGAACGCUGGCGGCGUGCCUAAUACAUGCAAGUAGAACGCUGAAGAGAGGAGCUUGCUCUUCUUGGAUGAGUUGCGAACGGGUGAGUAACGCGUAGGUAACCUGCCUUGUAGCGGGGGAUAACUAUUGGAAACGAUAGCUAAUACCGCAUAACAAUGGAUGACACAUGUCAUUUAUUUGAAAGGGGCAAUUGCUCCACUACAAGAUGGACCUGCGUUGUAUUAGCUAGUAGGUGAGGUAAUGGCUCACCUAGGCGACGAUACAUAGCCGACCUGAGAGGGUGAUCGGCCACACUGGGACGGAGACACGGCCCAGACUCCUACGGGAGGCAGCAGUAGGGAAUCUUCGGCAAUGGGGGCAACCCUGACCGAGCAACGCCGCGGGAGUGAAGAAGGUUGUCGGAUCGUAAAGCUCUGUUGUAAGUCAAGAACGGGUGUGAGAGUGGAAAGUUCACACUGUGACGGUAGCUUACCAGAAAGGGACGGCUAACUACGUG
This 497-nucleotide ribosomal RNA is filed under the name uncultured bacterium. RNAcentral's name for it is "partial 16S ribosomal RNA". It matches the Rfam family "Bacterial small subunit ribosomal RNA", at positions 28 to 507 of the family's 1533-position model. The record is from RNAcentral.